AGAGUUUGAUCAUGGCUCAGGAUGAACGCUAGCUACAGGCUUAACACAUGCAAGUCGAGGGGCAGCAUUUCAGUUUGCUUGCAAACUGGAGAUGGCGACCGGCGCACGGGUGAGUAACACGUAUCCAACCUGCCGAUAACUCGGGGAUAGCCUUUCGAAAGAAAGAUUAAUACCCGAUGGCAUAAUUAGACCGCAUGGUCUUAUUAUUAAAGAAUUUCGGUUAUCGAUGGGGAUGCGUUCCAUUAGGCAGUUGGUGAGGUAACGGCUCACCAAACCUUCGAUGGAUAGGGGUUCUGAGAGGAAGGUCCCCAACAUUGGAACUGAGACACGGUCCAAACUCCUACGGGAGGCAGCAGUGAGGAAUAUUGGUCAAUGGACGAGAGUCUGAACCAGCCAAGUAGCGUGAAGGAUGACUGCCCUAUGGGUUGUAAACUUCUUUUAUAUGGGAAUAAAGUUUUCCACGUGUGGAAUUUUGUAUGUACCAUAUGAAUAAGGAUCGGCUAACUCCGUGCCAGCAGCCGCGGUAAUAC
Molecule: ribosomal RNA, 530 nt
Filed under: uncultured bacterium
Lineage: Bacteria
Description: bacterial SSU rRNA
Rfam family: Bacterial small subunit ribosomal RNA
Source: RNAcentral